Molecule: long non-coding RNA, 340 nt
Organism: Vidua chalybeata
Lineage: Eukaryota; Metazoa; Chordata; Aves; Passeriformes; Viduidae
Exons: 4
Source: RefSeq, a predicted model, not a curated record
AAUGCUGAAUUGUAUCUUCCGGACUACAACUGCUGACAUGAAUACAACUACUAACAGUGCAAUCACUGAUGGAGUCUGGUGAAUUGGGAUCAUAACAGUAUAGUCCACAGGUGAAUCAUUUCCUUAUGUCUGAGAUAUCAGGAUAUGAAGGAAGAUUACUUUCACAGACAAACAAGAGACAGCUGCCCUUGAUAAUGUCUGCAGUGAAGGGGGCAUGAUGAAUGGCUGUAAAAGGCUGCUGUUCAUACACAGCUCAGAAGAGUAACUCUCAGCUCCAAUAAGGACCUGGAGGUGGAAAGGUUUGGGCAAGGUCUUAUAAGAUUUUCACAGUUAAUCAACC